CCCUUAGAUGUUCUGGGCCGCACGCGCGCUACACUGAUGCAUUCAACGAGCCUAUCCUUGACCGACAGGUCCGGGUAAUCUUUGAAUCUGCAUCGUGACGGGGAUAGAUUAUUGCAAUAUUAAUCUUCAACGAGGAAUGCCUAGUAGGCGCAAGUCAUCAGCUUGCGUCGAUUACGUCCCUGCCCUUUGUACACACCGCCCGUCGCUCCUACCGAUCGGGUGUGCUGGUGAAAUGUUCGGAUCGGCCGUUUGUCGCGGUUUCCGCGUCAUGUGGCUGAGAAGUUCAUUAAACCCUCCCACCUAGAGGAAGGAGAAGUCGUAACA
Molecule: ribosomal RNA, 324 nt
Filed under: uncultured eukaryote
Lineage: Eukaryota
Description: partial 18S ribosomal RNA
Rfam family: Eukaryotic small subunit ribosomal RNA
Source: RNAcentral